RNAcentral lists this ribosomal RNA (372 nucleotides) under uncultured organism. RNAcentral's name for it is "bacterial SSU rRNA". It matches the Rfam family "Bacterial small subunit ribosomal RNA", at positions 526 to 896 of the family's 1533-position model. The record is from RNAcentral.
CGGAGGUGGCAAGCGUUACUCGAAGGGUUAUUGGGUGUAAAGGGCAAGUAGGUGGCUUAGUAAGUGAGAGGUGAAAUACUCCGGCUCAAUCGGAGAACUGCCUUUCAUACUGCUUUGCUUGAGGAUGGUAGGGGGUAAGGGAAUUCCCGGUGUAAGGGCGAAAUCUGUAGAUAUCGGGAAGAACACCAGCGGCGAAGGCGCUUACCUGGACCAUUCCUGACACUGAAUUGCGAAAGCUAGGGGAGCAAACAGAAUUAGAUACUCUGGUAGUCCUAGCCGUAAACGAUGAGCACUAGGUGUUGGCUCCGUUAGGAGUCAGUGCCGCAGCUAACGCAUUAAGUGCUCCACCUGAGGACUACGGUCGCAAGGCUA